UUGAACGCUGGCGGCAGGCCUAACCCCUGCAAGUCGAGCGGAUGAAGGGAGCUUGCUCCUGGAUUCAGCGGCGGACGGGUGAGUAAUGCCUAGGAAUCUGCCUGGUAGUGGGGGAUAACGUCCGGAAACGGGCGCUAAUACCGCAUACGUCCUGAGGGAGAAAGUGGGGGAUCUUCGGACCUCACGCUAUCAGAUGAGCCUAGGUCGGAUUAGCUAGUUGGUGGGGUAAAGGCCUACCAAGGCGACGAUCCGUAACUGGUCUGAGAGGAUGAUCAGUCACACUGGAACUGAGACACGGUCCAGACUCCUACGGGAGGCAGCAGUGGGGAAUAUUGGACAAUGGGCGAAAGCCUGAUCCAGCCAUGCCGCGUGUGUGAAGAAGGUCUUCGGAUUGUAAAGCACUUAAGUUGGGAGGAAGGGCAGUAAGUUAAUACCUUGCUGUUUUGACGUUACCAACAGAAUAAGCACCGGCUAACUUCGUG
RNAcentral lists this ribosomal RNA (482 nucleotides) under uncultured bacterium. RNAcentral describes it as "partial 16S ribosomal RNA". It matches the Rfam family "Bacterial small subunit ribosomal RNA", at positions 30 to 507 of the family's 1533-position model. The record is from RNAcentral.